Molecule: ribosomal RNA, 495 nt
Filed under: uncultured bacterium
Lineage: Bacteria
Description: partial 16S ribosomal RNA
Rfam family: Bacterial small subunit ribosomal RNA
Source: RNAcentral
GACGAACGCUGGCGGCGUGCCUAAUACAUGCAAGUAGAACGCUGAAGGAGGAGCUUGCUUCUCUGGAUGAGUUGCGAACGGGUGAGUAACGCGUAGGUAACCUGCCUGUUAGAGGGGGAUAACUAUUGGAAACGAUAGCUAAUACCGCAUAAGAGUAGAUGUUGCAUGACAUUUGCUUAAAAGAUGCAAUUGUAUCACUACCAGAUGGACCUGCGUUGUAUUAGCUAGUUGGUGGGGUAACGGCUUACCAAGGCGACGAUACAUAGCCGACCCGAGAGGGUGGUCGGCCACACUGGGACUGAGACACGGCCCAGACUUCUACGGGAGGCAGCAGUAGGGAAUCUUCGGCAAUGGGCGGAAGUCUGACCGAGCAACGCCGCGUGAGUGAAGAAGGUUUUCGGAUCGUAAAGCUCUGUUGUUAGAGAAGAACGAGUGUGAGAGUGGAAAGUUCACACUGUGACGGUAUCUUAUCAGAAAGCGACGGCUAACUACGUG